CAUAGCAUCAGCAUGAUGACAACGCUGUUAGCCAAAUUGCCACAACAUAAGGGUCAGGUGGAAACAGAACAAACAUCGGAAUAAACAUAAGCUGUCGGGUUAACAGCCCCAGCCCUUUCUGUUUCACUUCUCUGUAACAAAGACACGGAUGACAAAUGCUACCGUGCUCAUUAGCCAAGACAAGCUGAAGAGAAUGAAGCGCUUCCCAUCAAAUUUAGCUGAUGCUACAAAGAAAAGCAACUACAUCAGACAUGAAGAGGAAUUACUUCGCUGCAUGGGUUACAGGAUUACAGGUCAUGUUAUAUAUAUGCAAAAUCUCAUGUUUGUUUUUGUCCCAUAUUGGCAUUAAUACCUACAAUAUUUACAUACAAUUUAUGUUUUGAUCCUUACACCAUGUUGAUCAAAAAUGCUGCUUAAAACACUGGGUUUAUUAAUAGGCUAGAAUGCACCUCUGUUCUUGUAAUUUCAGGUAGAUGCCACUAGAGGACUAUAAAGCUCAUGGAUUAUUGCACACAUCUAUAAAACAUUUCGAUAAUUUUAUGUUUUUAUGUAUCUGCCUACUGUGGGAAAUGUCACAGAGAGCCCACUCUCUCUCAAAAACACAGAUUUUGGCCGGUUAUUGCAAGCACAUGUUUGUUUGUUUGUUUGUUUGUUUUAAUUUCUCAGUGUCCCCUGGCAGAAUAAUUACAAGAGUAGUAAUUACAGUCACAAGUUGCAAACCCCCGAAGGAACUGCAGGCAAUUAAAGGUAGGAGGAUGAAGAUAAUUACAAGCUUACUAAAUUCAGUCGAAUUCUCAGAUCCCAAAUCUUACCUGCCCUCCUCACCCUGGGCACCGUGUCUGAGGAGCGUGUGAGGACAUGAUCUGUUCCACCACAAGUGAAGAAUCACAGUCCUUAAACGACGAUUAAAUCACCCACAGAUGCGUGAACACUGUGAUGAAACCAAAUUCUUACUGUGAACUGAUCGCCAACUUCCUUUGUUUUACAUGUACACUGAACACACACAGUUACAAGAGGUUGUCAAGUAUAAUGUUUUGAAUUUUAGUAAUUAAAUAAAUGAGAUUAAAUGUGUGACUUCUCUCUUUUAGAAACUGUACAUUAGUUCGGUAGUUUUUAUGUGGAUUUAAUUAUGUGACAUAGUCGAAUAUUACAAGCUAUGUAUGAUCAAACAGUGUUGCACUAGUGGCGGUGUAAGUGGGACUGACUCAAGAUUUAUUGCUAGAUCGUAUAUAAACGAUAGGCUGAUUCUCAGCAGUGAAUUGUGAAGGUAAGCCCUUUGUCAGUCAUACACUAGUUAAAAGACACUAUUACAUAUUUCCUCUUAAACCAUAAUUUAUAAAAUGACACAGGAUUAAAUUGGCCUUGAGACUAGCAUACGAGACCAUAAAGUCAUCAGGAAAGUGUCUGCAGACGUCGUAAAUCAAAAGCGAAGGGUCAUUUUCUAAUAUGGUCAUACAACAAGACUUUUUGCAACCAUGAGAUCUGCCCCUACUGACCAUUAAAAAAGGAGAUUUAAGCAUAGACUGCAUUUAAAGUCCAGUUCAGUUGCUUAAAUUAGUAGAUGUGAGGUGUAGGAGCUAAAGCUGCAUGUACCAACACAUCAGUUAAUCAAAUAACUACAAGCUUUAUCAGUAUCCCGGGAAAAAAAUGUACUCACAUUACAACUUUUUGCAUUGGCCUGACUUUAAAGCUCAAGAGGUACUACUUAGGUUUAAUGCAAUUUUUAUAGUUUGACCUGGUUGAGACCAUGAAAUACACUGGAUUGGCUCAAAAACUUACAUUUGUGCAUGGUAAAUCACUGUAUACAUAAUGCUAUAUAUACACCAGACUGCAGUGUGUCUGAGUCAUCAGAGUAACAAAAAGGCCCAAAACUCUGGAUUAUUCAUGUGCAUUUGAAAAAAAGAGGAAUAAGGUACAUUAAACUUUGGUUAUGCAAAUAAAGAAAAAAGUUUUCUACUUUCUACAUUCUCUGAAAUCAUCCAGAGUUGGUCCAGGAAGGUAGAACACACAUUUCCACACAAAGUUAAGAAUUUAAUUAUUUGUUUAUUUAUUAAUUUAUUUAUGUAUUUCUAUCUCCAGAAUCACCCACCCGAAAAAUAUAAAUUCCGGUGUAUUCCAAAAAAAAAAAAAAAGAGAGAGAGAGAGAGAAAGAAAAAAAGGAACAAUGGCAUCUUCAUCAACUGCAUCAAAGGAAUUAAU
Oreochromis niloticus (Nile tilapia) is the source of this 2199-nucleotide long non-coding RNA. RefSeq lists it as uncharacterized. The transcript is spliced from 3 exons. The record is from RefSeq and is a predicted model, not a curated record. Lineage: Eukaryota; Metazoa; Chordata; Actinopteri; Cichliformes; Cichlidae.